Molecule: ribosomal RNA, 1232 nt
Filed under: Salmonella enterica
Lineage: Bacteria; Pseudomonadati; Pseudomonadota; Gammaproteobacteria; Enterobacterales; Enterobacteriaceae
Description: partial 23S ribosomal RNA
Rfam family: Bacterial large subunit ribosomal RNA
Source: RNAcentral
GGGUUGUGAGGUUAAGCGACUAAGCGUACACGGUGGAUGCCCUGGCAGUCAGAGGCGAUGAAGGACGUGCUAAUCUGCGAUAAGCGCCGGUAAGGUGAUAUGAACCGUUAUAACCGACGAUUUCCGAAUGGGGAAACCCAGUGUGACUCGUCACACUAUCAUUAACUGAAUCCAUAGGUUAAUGAGGCGAACCGGGGGAACUGAAACAUCUAAGUACCCCGAGGAAAAGAAAUCAACCGAGAUUCCCCCAGUAGCGGCGAGCGAACGGGGAGGAGCCCAGAGCCUGAAUCAGCAUGUGUGUUAGUGGAAGCGUCUGGAAAGGCGCGCGAUACAGGGUGACAGCCCCGUACACAAAAGCGCAUGUGCUGUGAGCUCGAUGAGUAGGGCGGGACACGUGGUAUCCUGUCUGAAUAUGGGGGGACCAUCCUCCAAGGCUAAAUACUCCUGACUGACCGAUAGUGAACCAGUACCGUGAGGGAAAGGCGAAAAGAACCCCGGCGAGGGGAGUGAAAAAGAACCUGAAACCGUGUACGUACAAGCAGUGGGAGCACCUUCGGGUGUGACUGCGUACCUUUUGUAUAAUGGGUCAGCGACUUAUAUUCUGUAGCAAGGUUAACCGAAUAGGGGAGCCGUAGGGAAACCGAGUCUUAACCGGGCGUUAAGUUGCAGGGUAUAGACCCGAAACCCGGUGAUCUAGCCAUGGGCAGGUUGAAGGUUGGGUAACACUAACUGGAGGACCGAACCGACUAAUGUUGAAAAAUUAGCGGAUGACCUGUGGCUGGGGGUGAAAGGCCAAUCAAACCGGGAGAUAGCUGGUUCUCCCCGAAAGCUAUUUAGGUAGCGCCUCGUGAAUUCAUCUCCGGGGGUAGAGCACUGUUUCGGCUAGGGGGCCAUCCCGGCUUACCAACCCGAUGCAAACUGCGAAUACCGGAGAAUGUUAUCACGGGAGACACACGGCGGGUGCUAACGUCCGUCGUGAAGAGGGAAACAACCCAGACCGCCAGCUAAGGUCCCAAAGUCAUGGUUAAGUGGGAAACGAUGUGGGAAGGCUCAGACAGCCAGGAUGUUGGCUUAGAAGCAGCCAUCAUUUAAAGAAAGCGUAAUAGCUCACUGGUCGAGUCGGCCUGCGCGGAAGAUGUAACGGGGCUAAACCAUGCACCGAAGCUGCGGCAGCGACACUGUGUGUUGUUGGGUAGGGGAGCGUUCUGUAAGCCUGUGAAGGUGUGCUGUGA